GUAGGUUGGCAAGCGUUGCCCGGAAUUAUUGGGCGUAAAAGCGCGCGCAGGCGGUUCUUUAAGCCUGAUGUGAAAGCCCACGGCUCAACCGUGGAGGGUCAUUGGAAACUGGAGAACUUGAGUACAGAAGAGGAAAGCGGAAUUCCACGUGUAGCGGUGAAAUGCGUAGAGAUGUGGAGGAACACCAGUGGCGAAGGCGGCUUUCUGGUCUGUAACUGACGCUGAGGCGCGAAAGCGUGGGGAGCAAACAGGAUUAGAUACCCUGGUAGUCCACGCCGUAAACGAUGAGUGCUAAGUGUUAGGGGGGUUUCCGCCCCCCUUAGUGCUGCAGCUAACGCAUUAAGCACUCCGCCUGGGAUACGGCCGCAAGGCUG
This 374-nucleotide ribosomal RNA is filed under the name uncultured organism. Its description in RNAcentral is "partial 16S ribosomal RNA". It matches the Rfam family "Bacterial small subunit ribosomal RNA", at positions 526 to 896 of the family's 1533-position model. The record is from RNAcentral.